RNAcentral lists this ribosomal RNA (497 nucleotides) under uncultured bacterium. RNAcentral describes it as "partial 16S ribosomal RNA". It matches the Rfam family "Bacterial small subunit ribosomal RNA", at positions 28 to 507 of the family's 1533-position model. The record is from RNAcentral.
GAUGAACGCUGGCGGCGUGCCUAAUACAUGCCAGUCGAGCGAACAGACGAGGAGCUUGCUCCUCUGACGUUAGCGGCGGACGGGUGAGUAACACGUGGAUAACCUACCUAUAAGACUGGGAUAACUUCGGGAAACCGGAGCUAAUACCGGAUAAUAUAUUGAACCGCAUGGUUCAAUAGAGAAAGACGGUUUUGCUGUCACUUAUAGAUGGAUCCGCGCCGCAUUAGCUAGUUGGUAAGGUAACGGCUUACCAAGGCAACGAUGCGUAGCCGACCUGAGAGGGUGAUCGGCCACACUGGAACUGAGACACGGUCCAGACUCCUACGGGAGGCAGCAGUAGGGAAUCUUCCGCAAUGGGCGAAAGCCUGACGGAGCAACGCCGCGUGAGUGAUGAAGGUCUUCGGAUCGUAAAACUCUGUUAUUAGGGAAGAACAAAUGUGUAAGUAACUAUGCACGUCUUGACGGUACCUAAUCAGAAAGCCACGGCUAACUACGUG